This 90-nucleotide transfer RNA is filed under the name Acidobacteriota bacterium. RNAcentral's name for it is "tRNA-Ser". It matches the Rfam family "tRNA". Rfam says of the family: Transfer RNA (tRNA) molecules are approximately 80 nucleotides in length. Their secondary structure includes four short double-helical elements and three loops (D, anti-codon, and T loops). Further hydrogen bonds mediate the characteristic L-shaped molecular structure. tRNAs have two regions of fundamental functional importance: the anti-codon, which is responsible for specific mRNA codon recognition, and the 3' end, to which the tRNAs corresponding amino acid is attached (by aminoacyl-tRNA synthetases). tRNAs cope with the degeneracy of the genetic code in two manners: having more than one tRNA (with a specific anti-codon) for a particular amino acid; and 'wobble' base-pairing, i.e. permitting non-standard base-pairing at the 3rd anti-codon position. Lineage: Bacteria; Pseudomonadati; Acidobacteriota. The record is from RNAcentral.
GGAGGAAUGGCCGAGUGGUUGAAGGCGGCGGUCUUGAAAACCGUUAGAGGCGGAAGUCUCUCGUGGGUUCGAAUCCUACUUCCUCCGCCA